Molecule: ribosomal RNA, 778 nt
Filed under: Arthrobacter psychrolactophilus
Lineage: Bacteria; Bacillati; Actinomycetota; Actinomycetes; Micrococcales; Micrococcaceae
Description: bacterial SSU rRNA
Rfam family: Bacterial small subunit ribosomal RNA
Source: RNAcentral
CGUGCUUAACACAUGCAAGUCGAACGAUGAACCUCACUUGUGGGGGGAUUAGUGGCGAACGGGUGAGUAACACGUGAGUAACCUGCCCUUAACUCUGGGAUAAGCCUGGGAAACUGGGUCUAAUACUGGAUAUUGACUUUUCAUCGCAUGGUGGUUGGUUGAAAGAUUUUUUGGUUUUGGAUGGACUCGCGGCCUAUCAGCUUGUUGGUGAGGUAAUGGCUUACCAAGGCGACGACGGGUAGCCGGCCUGAGAGGGUGACCGGCCACACUGGGACUGAGACACGGCCCAGACUCCUACGGGAGGCAGCAGUGGGGAAUAUUGCACAAUGGGCGAAAGCCUGAUGCAGCGACGCCGCGUGAGGGAUGACGGCCUUCGGGUUGUAAACCUCUUUCAGUAGGGAACAAGGCUAGACGUUGUCUGGUUGAGGGUACUUGCAGAAGAAGCGCCGGCUAACUACGUGCCAGCAGCCGCGGUAAUACGUAGGGCGCAAGCGUUAUCCGGAAUUAUUGGGCGUAAAGAGCUCGUAGGCGGUUUGUCGCGUCUGCCGUGAAAGUCCGGGGCUCAACUCCGGAUCUGCGGUGGGUACGGGCAGACUAGAGUGAUGUAGGGGAGACUGGAAUUCCUGGUGUAGCGGUGAAAUGCGCAGAUAUCAGGAGGAACACCGAUGGCGAAGGCAGGUCUCUGGGCAUUAACUGACGCUGAGGAGCGAAAGCAUGGGGAGCGAACAGGAUUAGAUACCCUGGUAGUCCAUGCCGUAAACGUUGGGCACUAGGUGUG